CAUUGUUGAAACCUACACAGCAGAACGACCCRUGAACUAGUGACAACCGACGASGGGCRGGGGGCACUUGUCGCCCUCUCGCCCCCCACCUCCCCGGUGAGCGGGGACCUCGCGUCUCCCACCCUCAAACCGUACCCCGGUGCGAAAUGCGCCAAGGAAAUCGAACCAAGAGAGCCACGCCGGAGGCCCCRGACACGAUGCRCCCUCGGUGUUGGCAACUUAUGAAUUAUCCAAAACAAAUUUCGGCAACAGAUAUCUAGGCUCUCGCAUYGAUGAAGAACGUAGAAAAAUGCAAUACUUGGUGUGAAUUGCAGAAUCUCGUGAAUCAUUGAGUUUUUGAACACAUGUUAUGCCCGAAGCCACUCGGCCGAGGGCACGUCUGCUUGGGUGUCAUGCACUGUUGCCCCCYCCCCC
This 414-nucleotide unclassified non-coding RNA is filed under the name Lithocarpus henryi. Its description in RNAcentral is "partial contains internal transcribed spacer 1, 5.8S ribosomal RNA, and internal transcribed spacer 2". The record is from RNAcentral. Lineage: Eukaryota; Viridiplantae; Streptophyta; Magnoliopsida; Fagales; Fagaceae.